RNAcentral lists this ribosomal RNA (440 nucleotides) under uncultured bacterium. RNAcentral's name for it is "partial 16S ribosomal RNA". It matches the Rfam family "Bacterial small subunit ribosomal RNA", at positions 338 to 795 of the family's 1533-position model. The record is from RNAcentral.
CCUACGGGUGGCAGCAGUGGGGAAUAUUGCACAAUGGGGGAAACCCUGAUGCAGCGACGCCGCGUGAGGGAAGACGUAUUUAGGUAUGUAAAGCUGUAUCAGCAGGGAAGAAAAUUACGUUACCUGACUAAGAAGCCCCGGCUAACUACGUGCCAGCAGCCGCGGUAAUACGGAGGGGGCAAGCGUUAUCCGGAUUUACUGGGUGUUAAGGGGGCGUAGACGGCAGCGCAAGUCUGAAGUGAAAUCCCAUGGCUUAACCAUGGAACUGCUUUGGAUACUGUGCAGCUGGAGUGCAGGAGAGGUAAGCGGAAUUUCUAGUGUAGCGGUGAAAUGCGUAGAUAUUAGGAGGAACACCAGUGGCGAAGGCGGCUUACUGGACUGUAUCUGACGUUGAGGCUCGAAAGCGUGGGGAGCAAACAGGAUUAGAUACCCCUGUAGUC